AUCUAAGCCAUGCGAGUCAUUGUAGCAAUACAAGGCAGACGGCUCAGUAACGCGUAGUCAAUCUACCCUAUGGACGGGAAUAACCUCGGGAAACUGAGAAUAAUGCCCGAUAGAACAUUAUGCCUGGAAUGGUUUAUGUUUCAAAUGAUUUAUCGCCAUAGGAUGGGACUGCGGCCUAUCAGUUUGUUGGUGAGGUAAUGGCCCACCAAGACUAUUACAGGUACGGGCUCUGAGAGGAGUAGCCCGGAGAUGGGUACUGAGACACGGACCCAGGCCCUAUGGGGCGCAGCAGGCGAGAAAACUUUGCAAUGUGCGAAAGCACGACAAGGUUAAUCCGAGUGGUUUCUGCUAAAGAAACCUUUUGUCAGUCCUAGAAACACUGACGAAUAAGGGGUGGGCAAGUUCUGGUGUCAGCCGCCGCGGUAAAACCAGCACCUCAAGUGGUCAGGAUGAUUAUUGGGCCUAAAGCAUCCGUAGCUCGUUUUGUAAGUUUUCGGUUAAAUCCAUGCGCUUAACGUAUGGGCUGCCGGGAAUACUGCAUAACUAGGAAGUGGGAGAGGUAGACGGUACUCGGUAGGAAGGGGUAAAAUCCUUUGAUCUAUUGAUGACCACCUGUGGCGAAGGCGGUCUACCAGAACACGUUCGACGGUGAGGGAUGAAAGCUGGGGGAGCAAACCGGAUUAGACACCCGGGUAGUCCCAGCUGUAAACUAUGCAAACUCAGUGAUGCAUUGGCUUGUGGCCAAUGCAGUGCUGCAGGGAAGCCGUUAAGUUUGCCGCCUGGGAGGUACGUACGCAAGUAUGAAACUUAAAGGAAUUGGCGGGGGAGCACCACAAGGGGUGAAGCCUGCGGUUCAAUUGGAGUCAACGCCAGAAAUCUUACCCGGAGAGACAGCAGAAUGAAGGUCAAGCUGAAGACUUUACCAGACAAGCUGAGAGGUGGUGCAUGGCCGCCCAG
This 957-nucleotide ribosomal RNA is filed under the name uncultured archaeon. Its description in RNAcentral is "bacterial SSU rRNA". It matches the Rfam family "Archaeal small subunit ribosomal RNA", at positions 42 to 1005 of the family's 1478-position model. The record is from RNAcentral.